ACAAAUUUUUCAGCCCUUGAAAAAAGCCCACAACCAAAUUUUCAUCCCUUGAAAAAAGCCACAACAAAAUUUAAAAAUAUAGCCCAGAACGUAACCUACAAACACAUCUCGUUCCAAACAGCUCUAUCACUCUCUCGCUGAAACCUUGAAACUGAGAAGGCAUAGAGAUCUCAUAGAGCUCGACGAUCAUGGAGAUCUCAUAGAGCUCACCUAUCAUCGAUUAGGUACGAGUUGAUCUCAGUUUGUGACUCUUCAUCUCUCUUGGCAUUGUGUUUCUCAGCUCCAAUUAGGUACGAAUCACAAACCCUAAUUUCGUCUUUGAUUUUUUUGUUUUUUUGGUUUUCUAACACUUUCAUCGAUUUCCCCAUAAUUUUCAUUUCACAUUUCUUAGAAAGCUGAGCUCAUCAUCAAUUUCCCUAUUUCGAUUUCUAAUUGUUCGACUUUUGCGAUUUCAUUAUUCGAUUUUAAAUCAUAAUCUCUGUUUCCUUUACAGUUUUCAUACAAAUAUUGAUUGAGUUUUUUUUUUUUUUGAUUGUGAGUACAUGCACAACGAGAUUGGAAGACUCAAUCCAAGGGAUUGCUAGUAUUGGUUGUGUGGGAAAUGUGCUUUAGACGCUCUCUUGCUUGGACCUACUACAACUUCUAUCAGUCAGCACCAACAAAAUUGGCUGGGGAGAAUUAUUUCUUUCAUUCUGGGCAGGCUUUUCCACUGGAUUUUGUACUCUUUUCUGGUUGAGGACAACUUAAGGUGUGUCAAAGGGCAGAACAAAGAACACAUUAUGAGAAUAUGAUAAUGCAAAUGUUGAGUUAUAUCACCUCGCAAUCAGCCCAAUCUACUAGUGAUCACUAAGACAAGGAAGUUUUGCUCCUGCAUACAAAAGUUGACCUUGUAGUAACUCUUGGUGGGGAUGGAACGGUCCUUUGGAAACUUGAGGACACCCAUAAUGGCUGAAAUGUUCAAUUGUACUAGCUGAUAACUUCUUGCUUUGGAGAUGAUGAUGAAGAAUAAAAUGUAUCAAAACUUUUAACUCUUGGACAGAUUUGGUCUUUGUACAAAGUGUGGUUGUUGAUAUCUUUUCUCUUAAACAAUAAUUGACAUAUCGGCAAUUUGUAUGCA
Long non-coding RNA from Quercus lobata, 1117 nucleotides. RefSeq lists it as uncharacterized. Lineage: Eukaryota; Viridiplantae; Streptophyta; Magnoliopsida; Fagales; Fagaceae. The transcript has 5 exons. The record is from RefSeq and is a predicted model, not a curated record.